Molecule: unclassified non-coding RNA, 279 nt
Filed under: Glomus sp.
Lineage: Eukaryota; Fungi; Glomeromycota; Glomeromycetes; Glomerales; Glomeraceae
Description: partial contains 5.8S ribosomal RNA and internal transcribed spacer 2
Rfam family: 5.8S ribosomal RNA (bases 1-64)
Source: RNAcentral
GUGAAUCAUCAAAUUUUUGAACGCAAAUUGCACUCUCUCGGAGAGUAUGCCUGUUUGAGGGUCAGCAUAUAAAAAUUGACAUAGUUGCUGUUUCGCGGUGGCGUUCGUCGGAAAUUGGGUCAUCUUAAAUCAUUUUGGUUUUUAAGCGGCUUAAACUUUUCUUUACGAUUCCACGAACGUUUCUAAGAUUUACUUACACGUUUAAGGUAUCGAUCUUUAUUAGACGUGGCCGUUGCAUCGGAUCGCGUCGAUAAAUAUUUCGUUAACUGACCUCAUACA